This 270-nucleotide ribosomal RNA is filed under the name uncultured Geobacter sp. Its description in RNAcentral is "partial 16S ribosomal RNA". It matches the Rfam family "Bacterial small subunit ribosomal RNA", at positions 1111 to 1382 of the family's 1533-position model. The record is from RNAcentral. Lineage: Bacteria; Pseudomonadati; Thermodesulfobacteriota; Desulfuromonadia; Geobacterales; Geobacteraceae.
UCAGUUGCCAUCAUUAAGUUGGGCACUCUGUGGAGACUGCCGGUGUUAAACCGGAGGAAGGUGGGGAUGACGUCAAGUCCUCAUGGCCCUUAUGACCAGGGCUACACACGUGCUACAAUGGCCGGUACAAAGAGUUGCAAUACCGCGAGGUGGAGCUAAUCUCAUAAAGCCGGUCUCAGUUCGGAUUGGAGUCUGCAACUCGACUCCAUGAAGUUGGAAUCGCUAGUAAUCGCGGAUCAGCACGCCGCGGUGAAUACGUUCCCGGGCCUU